This 429-nucleotide ribosomal RNA is filed under the name Bacteroidota bacterium. RNAcentral's name for it is "Bacteroidetes bacterium partial 16S ribosomal RNA". It matches the Rfam family "Bacterial small subunit ribosomal RNA", at positions 355 to 776 of the family's 1533-position model. Lineage: Bacteria; Pseudomonadati; Bacteroidota. The record is from RNAcentral.
UAGGGAAUCUUCCGCAAUGGACGCAAGCCUGACGGAGCAACGCCGCGUGAGUGAAGAAGGAUUUCGGUUCGUAAAACUCUGUUGUUAGAGAAGAACAGCGCAUAGAGUAACUGUUAUGCGUGUGACGGUAUCUAACCAGAAAGCCACGGCUAACUACGUGCCAGCAGCCGCGGUAAUACGUAGGUGGCAAGCGUUGUCCGGAUUUAUUGGGCGUAAAGCGAGCGCAGGCGGUCAAUUAAGUCUGAUGUGAAAGCCCCCGGCUCAACCGGGGAGGGUCAUUGGAAACUGGUUGACUUGAGUGCAGAAGAGGAGAGUGGAAUUCCAUGUGUAGCGGUGAAAUGCGUAGAUAUAUGGAGGAACACCAGUGGCGAAGGCGACUCUCUGGUCUGUAACUGACGCUGAGGUUCGAAAGCGUGGGUAGCAAACAGG